AUUGUUUCUCAGCCUUUUGGGUAAAAUCAAGUGUAGUACCUGUUCUUAUCAGUUUAAUAUUUGGUAUGUCCUCAAUUCAAGGACAAUAUAUUACAUGGAUUUUUGGAACAAGGAGAUAGACUAGGAACUUGCUCCAUCCACUCCAUGCAUCGACCUGGUAUUGAAGUACUUCCAAGAAUGGUGAACCCUUA
Molecule: small nuclear RNA, 191 nt
Organism: Vulpes vulpes (red fox)
Lineage: Eukaryota; Metazoa; Chordata; Mammalia; Carnivora; Canidae
Gene: U2
Rfam family: U2 spliceosomal RNA
About the family: U2 is a small nuclear RNA (snRNA) component of the spliceosome (involved in pre-mRNA splicing). Complementary binding between U2 snRNA (in an area lying towards the 5' end but 3' to hairpin I) and the branchpoint sequence (BPS) of the intron results the bulging out of an unpaired adenosine, on the BPS, which initiates a nucleophilic attack at the intronic 5' splice site, thus starting the first of two transesterification reactions that mediate splicing.
Source: Ensembl